RNAcentral lists this long non-coding RNA (203 nucleotides) under Prunus persica (peach). RNAcentral's name for it is "long non-coding RNA (PPER_LNC003581)". Lineage: Eukaryota; Viridiplantae; Streptophyta; Magnoliopsida; Rosales; Rosaceae. The record is from RNAcentral.
AAUGGUUAUAAAUGCUAUGGAAUAGGCUCUUUUUAUUAACGGUUCUGUCUUCUAUAUAUUCUCCCUAUUUACUUUUCUUUUAUAAUUACAAUAAUCUCAAAAUUAAUUUUUUAAUAAAGUCCACGAACAAUUCUCUUUACAAUUUGCUUGAACAUGGACAAAUCGAUAUCUUCAUCUUUUAUGUUUUCCACUUCCAAUGUAAC